GUCAGUAAGAAUUUAAUUUUGGUUCUGAUUGAACGUUUUUCAGUAGUUUUAAGACAUGCAAAUCGUUGUUACUGAAAAUUUUAUAAAUUAAUUAGAUUCACUAUACUAUUUUGAAACUAAUAAAUAAUUAUAAAAUAAAUAAGAACAAGGUGUAAAGGUGAGUAUUUUAAAUUAGAUACCCUAUAGACUCCUUAAUUCGGAGAUAAUUUUAUUUCUCUAUUUAAUUAUCAGGUUUAAAAAAUAAAAAUAAAUAAAAUAAAUAAAUCAAUAAAAAGGGUAAUUGAAUAAGAGAAACUUUUGGAAAAAUAUAAUAAAAAAAGGUUAUAAAUCUUAACAAAAAAUUAAGGUUACAAUUAGCUAACCUUUCUCAAAUAAAUCCUGUGAAAUUAUAUUUUUAGUUUUACAGAUUAAUUAGAGUUAUAUUGACUUAUAAGAAAAAUAAAAGAUAAAUUAGCUAAUUUAUUAAAAAAGGAAAUUUUCUGCUAUAGGAUUCGAUUUAUUUUGUUUAAUGGUAGUUGGUAGGGUAAAAGCCUACCAAGCCUACGAUCAAAAGCCAUGUUUGAUAGAGCAGAUGGCCACAUUGGGAAUGGAAAGCCCCAAGUAGUGUAAACUACCAGCAGUCAAGAAUCUUAGUCAAUGCUCGCAAGAGUGAACUAGCUAACUGAAAUCAUUAUGAGUCAUUAAUUUGGUGAUUAUGAUAACAUAAGGGAAAAAAAAUGAUAUUACCUUAUUAUUAGUGUUGUCCAAAACUGGUGCCAGAAGACUCGGUAAGACCAGAGACGCAAACGUUAGUCAUCUUAAUCAGGCGUAAAGGGUGUGUAGGCUGCUUUAAAAGUUUAAAUCUUUUUAAUAGCUCUUUUGCCGUUGUCAUACCAUUAUUUUUUUGUUUUUGUUUUUUGUUUUAUAAAUAAUAAACAAAAAUGAAUAUAAAGGUAGUACAUUUUAUAAAUUUAAUUAAUUUAAUUAAUUUAAUUAAUUUAAUUUUAUAAUUAUAAAGGGGACAAAAAAGAUAUCCCGGUUUAAGUAAAAAGAAUAAAAUGAAUUAAAGCUAGGAUCAAAUUGAGGAUAAACCAAAUAAUACUUAGAGUAGGGCCGAUAUCCGCAGAUACUAAGGGGAAUACUAAAGGUGAAAGCUUUUUAUCUACUAUUGAUUGACGCUGAGAAACGAAGGUGAGAACAGGAAAUAGGAUUUGAUACCCAGAUACCUCUCACUGUCAACGAUGAAUGGUGGUUGUUAGUUUUAAUAAAAACUGGUAACGAUGUUAACACGAUAACCAUUCCGCCUUGCGAGUACGGUUGCAAAACUGAAACCAAAAAAAUUAGUCGGUUUCGAAGCAAACGAAGUGAAGCAUGUUAUUUAAUACGAGAGUACGCGUAAAACCUUACCAGUUCUUGCAUAUCCAGUCUGUUUCUAUUGAGACAGAUUGAGUAAUUUUUAUAAUUUUAAAAAUUCGUUUACAGGUGUUGCAUGGCUGUCGUCAGUCCGUGCCGUGAGAAGUGAGGUUAACUCCACUAACGGACGAAAUCCCUGUUGUUAAUUUAUACUUGACAAUUAAUGAAUUUUAAAUAUUUUCAUUUGGGGCUAAGACAAGUCGUUAUGGUCCUCAUGAACUGGGCUAUAGACGUGCCACAAUAACUUUUACAAAGUGAAGCAAAACUAGACCUAGAAACUUGGGCUAUUUUUUAGCUAUGUAGUUUUUAAUUUAUUUAAUUAAUUCAACAGGGUCAGAAGGAAUAGCUAAUCAUUAAAGAAAGUAAUAAUUAGACGGAUUGUCGCCUGCAAUUUGGCGACAUGAAGAAGGAAUUUCGAGUAAUCGUUGAUCAGUAUCGCAACGGUGAAGUAAGCAUUCGGGAUGAACUAACUGUCUGUCGCUGGGAAGAAGUUUAAUUUGGGGGAAACUGCCGCGAGGUUAUAACUUUAACAAAGGUAUACUUUACUUAAUAAUAUUUAUUGUUAUUUAUAAUUAUUAUAUUAUUAGAAUAAAUUAAAUAUUUAAUCAUACUUAAUUUAAAAGUAGUUUGUACGCUAAUAUUUUAAUACAAUUGUUUUAUAUUGUAAUUAGUCAUUUAUAAUAAAACACCUUUGUUAAGCUAAUUAGUUUCAGUUAACUCAGUUAAGUAACAUCUCAAAAGUCAUAGCAAGGUAGCUGUACUGGAAAGUGCUGCUGUAAAAUAAAAAUU
This 2181-nucleotide ribosomal RNA is filed under the name Tricholoma bakamatsutake. Its description in RNAcentral is "small subunit ribosomal RNA". The stretch from base 320 to 1940 matches the Rfam family "Bacterial small subunit ribosomal RNA". Lineage: Eukaryota; Fungi; Basidiomycota; Agaricomycetes; Agaricales; Tricholomataceae. The record is from RNAcentral.